RNAcentral lists this ribosomal RNA (253 nucleotides) under uncultured bacterium. RNAcentral describes it as "partial 16S ribosomal RNA". It matches the Rfam family "Bacterial small subunit ribosomal RNA", at positions 524 to 776 of the family's 1533-position model. The record is from RNAcentral.
UACGGGGGGGGCAAGCGUUGUUCUGAAUUACUGGGCGUAAAGGGCUCGUAGGCGGCCAACUAAGUCAGACGUGAAAUCCCCAGGCUCAACCUGGGAACUGCGUCUGAUACUGGAUGGCUUGAAUCCGGGAGAGGGAUGCGGAAUUCCAGGUGUAGCGGUGAAAUGCGUAGAUAUCUGGAGGAACACCGGUGGCGAAGGCGGCAUCCUGGACCGGCAUUGACGCUGAGGAGCGAAAGCCAGGGGAGCAAACGGG